UGACCAAGGGGCCGGGACGUUCUGAUUGUUUCAGGAUCGGAGUGACCUAGGGGUACAGGGAGUGCCUCCGCAAGGGCCGGGUCAGGAAAGAG
Non-coding RNA from Pseudomonas sp. MF4836, 92 nucleotides. The record is from Rfam. NCBI's taxonomy places the organism in Bacteria, Pseudomonadati, Pseudomonadota, Gammaproteobacteria, Pseudomonadales, Pseudomonadaceae.